UUUUAUAGUUGUGGGUUUUACAUUUAAGUUUUUAAUCCAUCUUGAGUUGAUUUUUGUAUGCAGUGUAAGGAAUGAGACCAGUUUCAGUCUUCUGCAUAUGGCUAGCCAGUUAUAGAGACAAUGGGGUUUUCUAGGCAUAGAAUCAUGUCAUCUGCAAACAGUGAUAGUUUUACUUACUGAUCAGCCUGACCAAUAUGGUGACACCCUGUCUCUACUAAAAAUACAAAAAUUAGCAGGGUAUGGUGGCAGAUGCCUGUAGUCCCAGCUACUCAGGAGGCUGAGGCAGGAGAAUUGCUUGAAUCCGGGAGGAGGAUGUUGCAGUGAGCCAAGAUCGCACUACCGCACUCCAGCCUGUGCGACAG
RNAcentral lists this long non-coding RNA (362 nucleotides) under Pan troglodytes (chimpanzee). RNAcentral's name for it is "long non-coding RNA NONPTRT015870". The record is from RNAcentral. Lineage: Eukaryota; Metazoa; Chordata; Mammalia; Primates; Hominidae.